RNAcentral lists this ribosomal RNA (1571 nucleotides) under Salmonella enterica. Its description in RNAcentral is "partial 23S ribosomal RNA". It matches the Rfam family "Bacterial large subunit ribosomal RNA", at positions 1248 to 2802 of the family's 2925-position model. Lineage: Bacteria; Pseudomonadati; Pseudomonadota; Gammaproteobacteria; Enterobacterales; Enterobacteriaceae. The record is from RNAcentral.
CUGUGAAGGUGUGUCGUGAGGCAUGCUGGAGGUAUCAGAAGUGCGAAUGCUGACAUAAGUAACGAUAAAGCGGGUGAAAAGCCCGCUCGCCGGAAGACCAAGGGUUCCUGUCCAACGUUAAUCGGGGCAGGGUGAGUCGACCCCUAAGGCGAGGCCGAAAGGCGUAGUCGAUGGGAAACGGGUUAAUAUUCCCGUACUUGGUGUUACUGCGAAGGGGGGACGGAGAAGGCUAUGUUGGCCGGGCGACGGUUGUCCCGGUUUAAGCGUGUAGGUGUGUGUUCCAGGUAAAUCCGGUUCACUUUAACACUGAGGCGUGACGACGAGGCACUACGGUGCUGAAGCAACAAAUGCCCUGCUUCCAGGAAAAGCCUCUAAGCAUCAGGUAACAUCAAAUCGUACCCCAAACCGACACAGGUGGUCAGGUAGAGAAUACCAAGGCGCUUGAGAGAACUCGGGUGAAGGAACUAGGCAAAAUGGUGCCGUAACUUCGGGAGAAGGCACGCUGACACGUAGGUGAAGUGAUUUACUCAUGGAGCUGAAGUCAGUCGAAGAUACCAGCUGGCUGCAACUGUUUAUUAAAAACACAGCACUGUGCAAACACGAAAGUGGACGUAUACGGUGUGACGCCUGCCCGGUGCCGGAAGGUUAAUUGAUGGGGUCAGCGCAAGCGAAGCUCCUGAUCGAAGCCCCGGUAAACGGCGGCCGUAACUAUAACGGUCCUAAGGUAGCGAAAUUCCUUGUCGGGUAAGUUCCGACCUGCACGAAUGGCGUAAUGAUGGCCAGGCUGUCUCCACCCGAGACUCAGUGAAAUUGAACUCGCUGUGAAGAUGCAGUGUACCCGCGGCAAGACGGAAAGACCCCGUGAACCUUUACUAUAGCUUGACACUGAACAUUGAGCCUUGAUGUGUAGGAUAGGUGGGAGGCUUUGAAGUGUGGACGCCAGUCUGCAUGGAGCCGACCUUGAAAUACCACCCUUUAAUGUUUGAUGUUCUAACGUGGACCCGUUACCCGGGUUGCGGACAGUGUCUGGUGGGUAGUUUGACUGGGGCGGUCUCCUCCUAAAGAGUAACGGAGGAGCACGAAGGUUGGCUAAUCCUGGUCGGACAUCAGGAGGUUAGUGCAAUGGCAUAAGCCAGCUUGACUGCGAGCGUGACGGCGCGAGCAGGUGCGAAAGCAGGUCAUAGUGAUCCGGUGGUUCUGAAUGGAAGGGCCAUCGCUCAACGGAUAAAAGGUACUCCGGGGAUAACAGGCUGAUACCGCCCAAGAGUUCAUAUCGACGGCGGUGUUUGGCACCUCGAUGUCGGCUCAUCACAUCCUGGGGCUGAAGUAGGUCCCAAGGGUAUGGCUGUUCGCCAUUUAAAGUGGUACGCGAGCUGGGUUUAGAACGUCGUGAGACAGUUCGGUCCCUAUCUGCCGUGGGCGCUGGAGAACUGAGGGGGGCUGCUCCUAGUACGAGAGGACCGGAGUGGACGCAUCACUGGUGUUCGGGUUGUCAUGCCAAUGGCACUGCCCGGUAGCUAAAUGCGGAAGAGAUAAGUGCUGAAAGCAUCUAAGCACGAAACUUGCCCCGA